GAUGAAUGACAAAUUUUGAGUUCGUUGGAAUAGGGACGAACAAUGCCUGGUCAGCAGAAGUCGCAUGUGUGAUCAUUUCACUGCCUUCGAGCUUCAAGUGGAGCACAGUUCAUCUUCUUCACCUCUAGCAUAGCCUAUCCAUCCUAUUUCCAAUACUUGUAUAAAGAUGUACAGUUCAUGUUUGGUAUAGUAAUACUGAAAUCAGAUUUUAGCUCUUUUUUCCUUCUUCUUUAAUAUUAUCCCAUGCUAUCAAAUCAUCCAUCCCAAACAUGCCGUCAAGAGUCUCUGUGUACGCAGACGAGUCUACUCUUGACUCAUGCUCAGCACUAUGUAAAUUUUAGUGUCAAUAGAACCAAGGAUUUUGUUAAUGAACAGCACUUAUGAAUCAGACACAAGUUUCUUCUACUCUGUUCGUUUCCUGUCUGGAAGUGUUGACACGUUGUGUUGAUGAUCAUCAACCGAAGUAAAAGUUUCUAACGAUACAACUCUUGACCCUAGACCACUGGUUUUGGACCACUCGAGAGUUGGCACGUUAGCUUACGUGCUGUUCGGUGUCCAAAAUAGUCCCUAGAUGAACCGAGUGGUUUGUAGGGAAAAGUCCUUCGUCGUCGUUAGCAAUUCUGAAUGUGAUCAUCAAGAACUUGAUAGGCAGCAUAAUAAAGAGACCCCAUAAACAUACAAAUCAAAGUGAUUAUAAUUGGCAAGGAGAAUCACCUUCAUUCAUUUUUACACGAUAUCGUAAAUAAUACUACAAGUGGUUGAAAGCACACGAUUUUGGUGCACUCAACAAUUUCAUCAAUCAACUUAACUACACACGUCGUAGCAAAUAGCAUUCACACAAUACAACUGCAAAUUUCUGCAGAAGAAGCUUCACAUUAACUUUAAGAAUGUCGUCUUCUUCGCUAAGAAUUCUAAAAAUAUCAGCAAUGGACGCCUAAUACAGUACCUCUAGUAACCUCAAUUAUCACACCACACCUAACUCCACUAUCCACUUUAUGUGUGAAUACCUUCAAAACCCUGACCCUCCCUACUAACUUCAUCCGAGUCUCAAUCUCCAUUGUGUUCCCGGCCAGAAUUCCACCAUUGCUGAAACUAUUACUGUUGUCGAACCCUAAUCCGCCAUCACCCCCGCUAACGACCGCUUUGGCCGGAGUUGGGAGGGGGUACUUCUGGACAUCAAAUUUGGCGGACAUUUUCUGACUGCCGCCGCCACCGAUCCUUCCGGCGGGAAUGAACACGAGACCCAUCGGCUCCCCGGAGUAGACGAGCUGCAAAGAGCUGUCAUAGUGAGAAAAUUCGUCGCGGUUGGGGUUGGUCACUGUCACGAACUGGAAGAAUUCGAAAUUGACGGUGCCAUUCGUGACGGAGAAUGCCGGGAACUGCACGGCGUCGACGGCGAUUUUCGGUGGUUUAGGCUUGAACAGGAAGAAGUAAACCGCGACUGCGCCGGCAACAAUUGAAAGCAAGAAAACUGUAGCCGCUACACAUGAUGCUAAAUUCGUACUCCCACGGUUGGAUUUCGUAUAACGGUCAUCAGAUCUAGGAAAUUGAGGUUGCUGCAUUUCUUGUACAGUGAUUUAGUGAGAGAAAAUUAGCAAAAAUCUAUGGGACUGAAAAUAAAGAAUGGAAUUUAGUGGGCUUGCUACUUUUUAUCAAGAACAAAAAAGAGAUUUUCCACGUCAUCAAUCAUGCUGCUUUGGGGAUUAAAGUAAGUUUUUCCUUUUAAGGGUUAAUGCCUUAUGACCGGAGAGAAAUGGUGGUGGCCGCGGUGGAGGCUAUGGGCGGUUGUGGUGGAGGUUGGUGUAAGGUGAGGUUAAUAUUCAGAUGAAUUUGAGUGAGGGAUAAGGGUGGUAUGAUUGUGUCUGAAGUAAAUUGGCCAUCAAGGUAGGUGUUUUAUGUUCGUUAGGUCCCUUGUGAUGGAUGAAAUUAAUUAACAAUGAUGAUGAUUGGUGAAGACGUAAAUUUUAACAUUCUUUUAUAUUAUAAUUAUUUGAGACUUCUUAAUCCUCCGAUUAUAUUUUUUAUUUUAUUUUUUUCUAAUUGAAUCGAAUUCUGAUAUAUCCUAUAACCUACACUGAAUCAUCCUUAUGAACCGAAACAUGGUGUGCAUCAAUGAUGAGCUUUCGUUUGUAGAAAAAAAAAUGAUUUUGAAAAAAGAAAAUGAAUUUGUUGAUAAUAAGACUCAAACAAGGACUUUAAAUGUCGAACAUCACUAAUUACAAGACUCAACAUUAAGAUAAAAAAAAAUACUAACACUUUACUUCUAUCUAAUCAGUGCUCUCCAAUCUAUGCUACCAAAUGAAGAACAUCAACCCCUUCCUUGUAUUAGUCCUAAAUACAUGUUUCGUAAAUAGUAUUAAAACGGGCAUUUGUUAUAUCCUUGAACUUAUAUACCACUAGACAAGGCUAACCGUAUUGUAAAGGUUCCCAUUAAUCAAAUGGGAUGAUUGUAAGUGAAUGUUCAAAGGAAAACCUGUGUGUACAUUUAACAUUGCAGUCAUUCACAAAAACACAAGCAGAAGUCGCAUGUGUGAUCAUUUCACUGCCUUCGAGCUUCAAGUGGAGCACAGUUCAUCUUCUUCACCUCUAGCAUAGCCUAUCCAUCCUAUUUCCAAUACUUGUAUAAAGAUGUACAGUUCAUGUUUGGUAUAGUAAUACUGAAAUCAGAUUUUAGCUCUUUUUUCCUUCUUCUUUAAUAUUAUCCCAUGCUAUCAAAUCAUCCAUCCCAAACAUGCCGUCAAGAG
This 2744-nucleotide long non-coding RNA is filed under the name Olea europaea (common olive). RNAcentral's name for it is "long non-coding RNA (OEUR_LNC005803)". The record is from RNAcentral. Lineage: Eukaryota; Viridiplantae; Streptophyta; Magnoliopsida; Lamiales; Oleaceae.